Molecule: ribosomal RNA, 334 nt
Filed under: uncultured cyanobacterium
Lineage: Bacteria; Bacillati; Cyanobacteriota
Description: bacterial SSU rRNA
Rfam family: Bacterial small subunit ribosomal RNA
Source: RNAcentral
CUCGUAGGCGGUUUCGUAAGUCGGAUGUGAAAACUCCAGGCUCAACUUGGAGACGCCAUUCGAUACUGCGAUGACUUGAGUCCGGUAGGGGAGUGUGGAAUUCCUGGUGUAGCGGUGAAAUGCGCAGAUAUCAGGAGGAACACCGGCGGCGAAGGCGGCACUCUGGGCCGGUACUGACGCUGAGGAGCGAAAGCGUGGGUAGCAAACAGGAUUAGAUACCCUGGUAGUCCACGCCGUAAACGGUGGGCACUAGGUGUGGGAUUCACUCAACGGAUUCCGUGCCGCAGCUAACGCAUUAAGUGCCCCGCCUGGGGAGUACGGCCGCAAGGCUAAA